AAGGUACUCAAGAGCACACAAUGGAUGCCUAGAUGUAUAUUACCGAAGAAGGACGUGGAAGACUGCGAAAAGUCUCGGGUAGCUGUCAACAAGCUUUGAUCCGGGAAUAUCCGAAUGGGGAAACCCAGCACGAGUCAUGUCGUGUUAUCUGUCUCUGAAUAUAUAGGAGAUUUGACGGGAACCAACCGAACUGAAACAUCUUAGUAGGUUGAGGAAGAGAAAAUAAAUAAUGAUUCCGGGAGUAGUGGCGAGCGAAACUGGAUCAGCCCAAACCUUUUUCAUUUUUGCCUGGUAAUUUAUUACCGGCAAAUAAGUUUUCAGACGAAUAUGAACAAGGGGUUGUGGGAUUACACAAGACCAUAUCAGAGAACUAAAGUUUACUUUAGCUAUCUGAUAUGUGAUAGCGAACUGAAAAUAGCUAGUAAGGUAAGAAAUUAGAGUUGUUAGCGGAAUAGUUUGAAUGACUAACCAAAGGACGUGAAAGUCGUGUAUGCGAAAACAACUUUGGCCUUAUAUGUGUUUUCCCGAGUAGGACGGGGCACGAGAAACCCUGUUUGAAUCCGGCAGGACCACCUGCCAAGGCUAAAUAUAAUAUAUGAUCGAUAGUGAACUAGUACCGUGAGGGAAAGGUGAAAAGAACCCCGGGAGGGGAGUGAAAUAGAUCCUGAAAUUGUGUGCUUACAAAGUGUCGGAGCCCUUCGGGGUGACGGCGUGCUUUUUGUAGAACGAUCCAGCGAGUUAAUUUCAUGCGCAAGGUUAAGUCAAGUGACGGAGCCACAGUGAAAGCGAGCCUGAAUAGGGCGAUUAAGUGUAUGGAAUUAGACCCGAAACCAAGUGACCUAACCAUGAGCAGGUUGAAGCGACAGUAACAUGUCGUGAAGGACCGAACCGUCGUACGCAGCAAAGUGCUCGGAUGACUUGUGGUUAGCGGUGAAAUGCCAAUCGAACUUGGAGAUAGCUGGUUCUCCUCGAAAUAGCUUUAGGGCUAGCGUCAUGUUAAUUAGCCAACGGGGGUAGAGCUCUGUAAAGGACUUUGGCCCGCAAGGGUACUUAUCCUUAACAAACUACGAAUACCGUUGGUGGUAUCAUGGCAGUUAGAACGUCGGGGCUAAGCUCGGCGCUCGAAAGGGAAACAGCCCAGACCAUCGUCUAAGGUCCCUAAAUAUACGCUCAGUGGGAAACAAGGUGGAAUUUCUUA
This 1198-nucleotide ribosomal RNA is filed under the name Candidatus Saccharimonadota bacterium. RNAcentral describes it as "partial 23S ribosomal RNA". It matches the Rfam family "Bacterial large subunit ribosomal RNA", at positions 1 to 1087 of the family's 2925-position model. Lineage: Bacteria; Candidatus Saccharimonadota. The record is from RNAcentral.